GGGGAUGACAGGCUUCGACGGAGGAGGCUGGUCCCGGAUUGCGAGCCGAGAGGUGCCGACCUCGCAAAAUCAGCACAAAAAACAAGUGCCAAUCGCACUUCCUACGCCGCUAUGCCCCUCGCCGCCUAAGGUGAGAGCUAGCGCCUGGUCCCCCUGAGGGACCACGUCCGCCUACCCCGCCCUCUGACCGGUGGUGGGACGGGCGUGACAAAGUCAGAGUGCCGUGCGGAAGGCCGCGUGUCGCACGAAAGAGGGCUUUCGGGCCCCAGCGGCUGGCUGAAGACCGGUUUGCUGGUUCCACCGGCUUUGAGCGAAAACAAAGACCGGCUACGCUCGUAGAUAUUCGAGGGCUUAAUCUUUCGGACGCGGGUUCGAUUCCCGCCAUCUCCACUA
RNAcentral lists this transfer-messenger RNA (393 nucleotides) under Chloroflexota bacterium. Its description in RNAcentral is "Chloroflexi bacterium (anaerobic digester metagenome) transfer-messenger RNA". It matches the Rfam family "transfer-messenger RNA". From Rfam's summary of the family: Bacterial tmRNA, also known as 10Sa RNA or SsrA, is named for its dual tRNA and mRNA-like properties. Its role is to liberate the mRNA from a stalled ribosome. To accomplish this part of the tmRNA is used as a reading frame that ends in a translation stop signal. The record is from RNAcentral. Lineage: Bacteria; Bacillati; Chloroflexota.